UCCGUAGGCGGGUAAUUAAGUCAGAGGUGAAAUCCCACAGCUUAACUGUGGAACUGCCUUAGAUACUGGUUAUCUUGAGUUUUAGUGAAGUAGAUAGAAUGUGUAGUGUAGCGGUGAAAUGCGUAGAUAUUACACAGAAUACCGAUUGCGAAGGCAGUCUACUAACUAACAACUGACGCUAAUGGACGAAAGCGUGGGGAGCGAACAGGAUUAGAUACCCUGGUAGUCC
This 229-nucleotide ribosomal RNA is filed under the name uncultured bacterium. Its description in RNAcentral is "partial 16S ribosomal RNA". It matches the Rfam family "Bacterial small subunit ribosomal RNA", at positions 568 to 796 of the family's 1533-position model. The record is from RNAcentral.